This 377-nucleotide ribosomal RNA is filed under the name uncultured bacterium. RNAcentral describes it as "bacterial SSU rRNA". It matches the Rfam family "Bacterial small subunit ribosomal RNA", at positions 521 to 896 of the family's 1533-position model. The record is from RNAcentral.
UAAGACAGAGGGUGCAAACGUUGCUCGGAAUCACUGGGCGUAAAGGGCGCGUAGGCGGGAAUGUAAGUCGGGCGUGAAAUCCCCAGGCUCAACCUGGGAACUGCACUCGAAACUGCGUUUCUUGAGUAUCGGAGAGGAAAGCGGAAUUCCUGGUGUAGAGGUGAAAUUCGUAGAUAUCAGGAGGAACACCAGUGGCGAAGGCGGCUUUCUGGACGGUAACUGACGCUGAGGCGCGAAAGCGUGGGGAGCAAACAGGAUUAGAUACCCUGGUAGUCCACGCUGUAAACGAUGAGCGCUAGGUGUCGUGGGUAUUGACCCCCGCGGUGCCGAAGCUAACGCAUUAAGCGCUCCGCCUGGGAAGUACGGUCGCAAGACUA